RNAcentral lists this ribosomal RNA (467 nucleotides) under uncultured bacterium. Its description in RNAcentral is "partial 16S ribosomal RNA". It matches the Rfam family "Bacterial small subunit ribosomal RNA", at positions 28 to 506 of the family's 1533-position model. The record is from RNAcentral.
GACGAACGCUGGCGGCGCGCCUAACACAUGCAAGUCGAACGGAGUCAAGAGGAGCUUGCUUUUCUUGACUUAGUGGCGAACGGGUGAGUAACGCGUGAGUAACCUGCCCUGGAGUGGGGGACAACAGUUGGAAACGACUGCUAAUACCGCAUAAGCCCACGGAUCUGCAUGGAUCUGCGGGAAAAGGAUUUAUUCGCUCUAGGAUGGACUCGCGUCCAAUUAGCUAGUUGGUGAGGUAACGGCCCACCAAGGCGACGAUUGGUAGCCGGACUGAGAGGUUGAACGGCACCAUUGGGAGUGGAACCCGGCCCAGACCCCCACGGGAGGCAGCAGUGGGGGAUAUGGCAAAAGGGGGGAACCCCGAAGGCAGCGGCGCCGGGGGGAGGAAAAAGGUUUUCGGAUUGUAAACCCCCGUCGUUAGGGACGAAAAUGGCGGUACCAACCAAAAAAGCCCCGGUUAACUCCGU